GUCGUAACAAGGUUUCCGUAGGUGAACCUGCGGAAGGAUCAUUCAUAAUAAGUGUUUUAUGGCACUUUUUAAAUCCAUAUCCACCUUGUGUGCAAUGUCAGUCGAUCUUCUUCAUGGAGAUCGACCAAACAUCAACCUUUAUUUUUUAACUCUUUGUCUGAAAAAUAUUAUGAAUAAACAAUUCAAAAUACAACUUUCAACAACGGAUCUCUUGGCUCUCGCAUCGAUGAAGAACGCAGCGAAAUGCGAUACGUAAUGUGAAUUGCAGAAUUCAGUGAAUCAUCGAAUCUUUGAACGCAUAUUGCGCUCUUUGGUAUUCCGAAGAGCAUGCUUGUUUGAGUAUCAGUAAACACCUCAAAGCUUUUGGAUUUUUUAAUCGAAAAGCUUUGGACUUGAGCAAUCCCAACACCAAUCUUUUUGAGAUCGGUGGCGGGUUGCUUGAAAUGCAGGUGCAGCUGGACAUUCUCCUGAGCUAAAAGCAUAUUCAUUUAGUCCCGUCAAACGGAUUAUUACUUUUGCUGCAGCUAACAUAAAGGGAGUUUGACCGUAUUGGCUGACUGAUGCAGGAUUUCACAAGGGUCGGCAACNGAUUCUUGUUAAACUCGAUCUCAAAUCAAGUAAGACUACCCGCUGAACUUAAG
RNAcentral lists this ribosomal RNA (641 nucleotides) under Mortierella sp. MEL 2385003. RNAcentral's name for it is "eukaryotic LSU rRNA". The stretch from base 192 to 345 matches the Rfam family "5.8S ribosomal RNA". The record is from RNAcentral. Lineage: Eukaryota; Fungi; Mortierellomycota; Mortierellomycetes; Mortierellales; Mortierellaceae.